Molecule: ribosomal RNA, 490 nt
Filed under: uncultured bacterium
Lineage: Bacteria
Description: partial 16S ribosomal RNA
Rfam family: Bacterial small subunit ribosomal RNA
Source: RNAcentral
AGUGAACGCUGGCGGCAGGCCUAACACAUGCCAGUCGAACGGCAGCACAAGAGAGCUUGCUCUCUGGGUGGCGAGUGGCGGACGGGUGAGGAAUGCAUCGGAAUCUGCCCAUUUGUGGGGGAUAACCUCGGGAAACCGGGACUAAUACCGCAUACGACCUACGGGUGAAGGCAGGGGAUCUUCGGACCUUGCGCAGAUGGAUGAGCCGAUGCCGGAUUAGCUAGUUGGAGGGGUAAAGGCCCACCAAGGCGACGAUCCGUAGCUGGUCUGAGAGGAUGAUCAGCCACACUGGGACUGAGACACGGCCCAGACUCCUACGGGAGGCAGCAGUGGGGAAUAUUGGACAAUGGGCGCAAGCCUGAUCCAGCCAUGCCGCGUGUGUGAAGAAGGCCUUCGGGUUGUAAAGCACUUUUGUUGGGAAAGAAAAGCAGCCGGUUAAUACCCGGUUGUCAUGACGGUACCCAAAGAAUAAGCACCGGCUAACUUCGUG